GCGAACGCUGGCGGCAGGCCUAACACAUGCAAGUCGAGCGCCCCGCAAGGGGAGCGGCAGACGGGAGAGUAACACGUGGGAACGUACCCUUCAGUUCGGAACAACCCAGGGAAACUUGGGCUAAUACCGAAUACGUCCGUAAGGAGAAAGAUUUAUCGCUGAAGGAUCGGCCCGCGUCUGAUUAGCUAGUUGGUGAGGUAAUGGCUCACCAAGGCUACGAUCAGUAGCUGGUCUGAGAGGAUGAUCAGCCUCACUGGGACUGAGACACGGCCCAGACUCCUACGGGAGGCAGCAGUGGGGAAUAUUGGACAAUGGGCGCAAGCCUGAUCCAGCCAUGCCGCGUGGGUGAUGAAGGCCCUAGGGUUGUAAAGCCCUUUCGGCGGGGAAGAUAAUGACGGUACCCGCAGAAGAAGCCCCGGCUAACUUCGU
RNAcentral lists this ribosomal RNA (429 nucleotides) under uncultured bacterium. RNAcentral's name for it is "bacterial SSU rRNA". It matches the Rfam family "Bacterial small subunit ribosomal RNA", at positions 29 to 506 of the family's 1533-position model. The record is from RNAcentral.